RNAcentral lists this transfer RNA (85 nucleotides) under Felis catus (domestic cat). It matches the Rfam family "tRNA". Rfam says of the family: Transfer RNA (tRNA) molecules are approximately 80 nucleotides in length. Their secondary structure includes four short double-helical elements and three loops (D, anti-codon, and T loops). Lineage: Eukaryota; Metazoa; Chordata; Mammalia; Carnivora; Felidae. The record is from Rfam by way of RNAcentral.
GCCCGGAUGGCUCAGUAGGUUAAGCGUCCGACUUCAGCUCAGGUCAUGAUCUCACAGUUCGUGGGUUCAAGCCCCGCAUCGGGCU